This 305-nucleotide ribosomal RNA is filed under the name uncultured bacterium. RNAcentral's name for it is "bacterial SSU rRNA". It matches the Rfam family "Bacterial small subunit ribosomal RNA", at positions 335 to 633 of the family's 1533-position model. The record is from RNAcentral.
UGCCUACGGGGCGCAGCAGUGGGGAAUUUUGGACGAUGGGCGCAAGCCUGAUCCAGCUAUUCCGCGUGUGGGAUGAAGGCCCUGGGGUUGUAAACCACUUUUGUAGAGAACGAAAAGACACCCCUUAAUAAAGGGUGUUGCUGACGGUACUCUAAGAAUAAGCACCGGCUAACUACGUGCCAGCAGCCGCGGUAAUACGUAGGGUGCGAGCGUUAAUCGGAAUUACUGGGCGUAAAGGGUGCGCAGGCGGUUGAGUAAGACAGAUGUGAAAUCCCCGAGCUUAACUCGGGAAUGGCAUAUGUGAC